This 388-nucleotide long non-coding RNA is filed under the name Marmota monax (woodchuck). Lineage: Eukaryota; Metazoa; Chordata; Mammalia; Rodentia; Sciuridae. The record is from RNAcentral.
AUGCUGAGAAUAGAAACCUGUAGGAAGCUGUUCUCGCACGUGACUGAGAUACCUCCCUGACUGGGUGUGAGGUGCUCAGACCAGCUGUGUCAGAGCUUUCCCCACCCUUUCCAGGUGCUAGGGCUUGUCCGUGUGGGGGUGUGGUGGACCAUUGACCUGGAAACCAAUCACUGACAUUGACUUUGGAAUGCUCUCUCCCUUGACCUUCAUUGGAUGGAAUUUUCCCCUAAAUUUUUUGUUCCCCAAUAAAAGCCCACUCUCUGGCGUGCUUCUUCCUCUCUCCUGCUGGUCUCUUGUGUAAACCUCGCUAUCGCCAGGUGGCUUGAGGCAGGAGCCGGGAGAAGCCAUCUCUGAGCUGGGCAAGAAAAAGGUAAAUUGAGUUUUAUGU